Long non-coding RNA from Hemicordylus capensis (graceful crag lizard), 1064 nucleotides. RefSeq lists it as uncharacterized. The transcript has 3 exons. The record is from RefSeq and is a predicted model, not a curated record. NCBI's taxonomy places the organism in Eukaryota, Metazoa, Chordata, Lepidosauria, Squamata, Cordylidae.
UUAGGAGCUUCACGCUUCUGUAGUUUCUCAAUGCCUGUGGGAGGCAGCAUCAUCCCUAUGAUGGUGGCUCUCUUGAAUGGAACAUGCUUCACGCAUGUUAGGAGCUUCACGCUUCUGUAGUUUCUCAAUGCCUGUGGGAGGCAGCAUCAUCCCUAAGAUGGUGGCUUUAUUGUAUGCAACAUGUUUCAUGCAUGUUCAAUUCUGCCCUCUGAAGAAUGCUUUGAGAAGAAGAAACAGAAUUGGUGCACCUUCUUCAAGGACCUCCAUGCCUGAACCUGGAUGUGGAAACUUUUUCUCCUCCGAAGUGGCCUCUGUGGCAGAUUUCAAGAAAGAACUAAAAGAAUCUGAAGAAAGAACGAAAGGAAGCAACAAUGCACGACAGAAGCCAAACCAGGGGCUGCAUUGAUAGAUGUUCCCUGUCCUGAAUGCAACAUGCUUCAUGCAUGUUAGCAGCUUCAGUUCUAUAUUUUCCCAAUGGCUGUGGGAGGCAGCAUCAUCCCUAAGAUGGUGGCUGUCUUGAAUGGGACAUGCUUCAUGCAUGUUCCAUUCUGCCCUCUGAAGAAUGGUUUGGCAAGAAGAAACAGAAUUGGCGCACCUUCUUCAAGGACCUCCAUGCCUGAACGUGGAUGUGGAAACGUUUUCUCCUCCGAAGUGGCCUCUGUGGCAGAUUUCAAGAAAGAACUAAAAGAAUCUGAAGAAAGAACGAAAGGAAGCAACAAUGCACGACAGAAGCCAAACCAGGGGCUCCAUUGACAGUUGUUCCCUGUCCUGAAUGGAACAUGCUUCACGCAUGUUAGGAGCUUCACGCUUCUGUAGUUUCUCAAUGCCUGUGGGAGGCAGCAUCAUCUCUAAGAUGGUGGCUGUCUUGAAUGGAACAUGCUUCACGCAUGUUAGGAGCUUCACGCUUCUGUAGUUUCUCAAUGCCUGUGGGAGGCAGCAUCAUCUCUAAGAUGGUGGCUCUCUUGAAUGGAACAUGCUUCACGCAUGUUAGGAGCUUCACGCUUCUGUAGUUUCUCAAUGCCUGUGGGAGGCAGCAUCAUCCCUAUGAUGGUGGCUCUCUUGAA